AGCCAGACUCCUACGGGAGGCAGCAGUGGGGAGUAUUGCACAAUGGGGGAAACCCUGAUGCAGCGACGCCGCGUGAGCGAUGAAGUAUUUCGGUAUGUAAAGCUCUAUCAGCAGGGAAGAAAAUGACGGUACCUGACUAAGAAGCCCUGGCUAACUACGUGCCAGCAGCCGCGGUAAUACGUAGGGGGCAAGCGUUAUCCGGAUUUACUGGGUGUAAAGGGAGCGUAGACGGUCCUGCAAGCCAGAUGUGAAAGCCCGGGGCUCAACCCCGGGACUGCAUUUGGAACUGUAAGGCUAGAGUGUCGGAGAGGCAGGCGGAAUUCCUAGUGUAGCGGUGAAAUGCGUAGAUAUUAGGAGGAACACCAGUGGCGAAGGCGGCCUGCUGGGCUUUUACUGACGCUGAGGCUCGAAAGUGUGGGGAGCAAACGGGAUUAGAUACCCGGGUA
This 446-nucleotide ribosomal RNA is filed under the name uncultured bacterium. Its description in RNAcentral is "bacterial SSU rRNA". It matches the Rfam family "Bacterial small subunit ribosomal RNA", at positions 329 to 792 of the family's 1533-position model. The record is from RNAcentral.